Molecule: ribosomal RNA, 482 nt
Filed under: uncultured bacterium
Lineage: Bacteria
Description: partial 16S ribosomal RNA
Rfam family: Bacterial small subunit ribosomal RNA
Source: RNAcentral
AUUGAACGCUGGCGGCAGGCCUAACACAUGCAAGUCGAGCGGACGAAGGGAGCUUGUUCCUGGAUUCAGCGGCGGACGGGCGAGUAAUGCCUAGGAAUCUGCCCGGUAGUUGGGGAUAACGUCCGGAAACGGGCGCUAAUACCGCAUACGUUCUGAGGGUGAAAGUGGGGGAUCUACGGACCUCACGCGAUCAGCUGAGCCUAGGUCGGGUUAGCUCGUUGCUGGGGUAAAGGCCUACCAAGGCGACGAUCCGUAACUGGUCUGAGUGGGUGAUCAGACACACUGACACUGACACGCGGUCCAGACUCCUGCGAGGGGCAGCAGUGGAAAAUAUUGGACUAUGCGCAAAAGCGUGAUCCAGCCGUGCCGCGUGUGUGAAGAAGGUCUUCGGCUUGAAAAGCACUUUAAGUUGAGGGAAAGAGCAGUAAGUUAAUACCUAGCUGUUUUGACGUUACCAACAGAAUACGCACCGGCUAACUGCG